RNAcentral lists this ribosomal RNA (866 nucleotides) under uncultured bacterium. RNAcentral describes it as "bacterial SSU rRNA". It matches the Rfam family "Bacterial small subunit ribosomal RNA", at positions 9 to 870 of the family's 1533-position model. The record is from RNAcentral.
GAGUUUGAUCCUGGCUCAGGAUGAACGCUAGCGACAGGCCUAACACAUGCAAGUCGAGGGGCAGCACAUGAGUAGCAAUACGAUGGUGGCGACCGGCGCACGGGUGAGUAACACGUAUGCAACCUACCUGUAAAUGGGGAAUAACCCGGAGAAAUUCGGACUAACACCGCAUAAUACUGUUUAUUCGCAUGAAUGAGCAGUUAAAUAUUUAUAGUUUACAGAUGGGCAUGCGUAUGAUUAGAUAGUUGGUAGGGUAACGGCCUACCAAGUCUACGAUCAUUAGGGGUUCUGAGAGGAAGGUCCCCCACACUGGUACUGAGACACGGACCAGACUCCUACGGGAGGCAGCAGUGAGGAAUAUUGGUCAAUGGGCGAGAGCCUGAACCAGCCAAGUCGCGUGAAGGAAGAAGGUUCUAUGGAUUGUAAACUUCUUUUGCAGGGGAAUAAAGUUCGCUACGUGUAGCGUUUUGUAUGUACCUUGCGAAUAAGGAUCGGCUAACUCCGUGCCAGCAGCCGCGGUAAUACGGAGGAUCCGAGCGUUAUCCGGAUUUAUUGGGUUUAAAGGGUGCGUAGGUGGGCCUAUAAGUCAGUGGUGAAAGUUUUCAGCUCAACUGAAAAAUUGCCGUUGAAACUGUAGGUCUUGAGUGCAAUUGAGGUAGGCGGAAUGUGUUGUGUAGCGGUGAAAUGCAUAGAUAUAACACAGAACUCCAAUUGCGAAGGCAGCUUACUGGGAUGCAACUGACACUGAGGCACGAAAGCGUGGGUAUCAAACAGGAUUAGAUACCCUGGUAGUCCACGCAGUAAACGAUGAAUACUAGCUGUAUGCGAUACACUGCAUGUGGCACAGCGAAAGCGUUAAGUAUUCC